GGCGAACGCUGCGGCGUGCCUAAUACGAUGCAAGUCGAGCGGACCUUCGGGUUAGCGGCGGACGGUGAGUAACACUGGGUAAUCUGCCCAACUGACUGGAAUAACGCCUGGAAACGGGUGCUAAUGCCGGAUAGGCAACUGGUAGGCAUCUACCGGUUGGGAAAGGUGCAACUGCACCGCAGAUGGAGGAGCCCGCGGCGCAUUAGCUAGUUGGUGGGGUAACGGCUCACCAAGGCAACGAUGCGUAGCCGACCUGAGAGGGUGACCGGCCACACUGGGACUGAGACACGGCCCAGACUCCUACGGGAGGCAGCAGUAGGGAAUCUUCCACAAUGGGCGCAAGCCUGAUGGAGCAACGCCGCGUGAGUGAAGACGGCCUUCGGGUUGUAAAGCUCAGUCACUCGGGAAGAGCGGACGAGGGAGUGGAAAGCCCUCGUCGAGACGGUACCGAGAGAGGAAGCCCCGGCUAACUACGUG
RNAcentral lists this ribosomal RNA (477 nucleotides) under uncultured bacterium. RNAcentral's name for it is "bacterial SSU rRNA". It matches the Rfam family "Bacterial small subunit ribosomal RNA", at positions 28 to 507 of the family's 1533-position model. The record is from RNAcentral.